Molecule: long non-coding RNA, 5592 nt
Organism: Aethalodelphis obliquidens (Pacific white-sided dolphin)
Lineage: Eukaryota; Metazoa; Chordata; Mammalia; Artiodactyla; Delphinidae
Exons: 8
Source: RefSeq, a predicted model, not a curated record
CUCGUCCAGAUGCACAGCAAGACAGACUCCUCAAGCCUAAGCCGGGCGGCCCACCUGGAAGAGGAAGCGGGGCAGGUGCCCGCAGGCCGGGCUCACCAUGACACGGUGUGAGACCUCCGGCUACAACAUGGGACCCGGGCGCUGCUCCGACCCCUCGUGUCUUGUGUUGCAGCCGGAGGGACGCAGGUCCGCAGCAGAGCCUGCUUCCCGCCAGGGACCCGACGUGGCAGCAGCACGGAGACGGCGGGAAGGAAGGGUCAUUAUCUUGACAAUACACAGAACUGCAGAGCUGCUGCGACUGCACCCUGACAGCGGUGGGGAGUGGAAUGGGGCGUUGUGUGAAUCCACUCGAAGGAAAGAAAACCCCGUCCUGAAGUCAUGGCUGAAAAGCCCAGAAGACGCUGAGCAGGUCCCUCCAGGAGCCACUCGCGUCUGCAGGAGGCUUAGAGGAAGCUGUGUAUCUUUACAGGCCGCCUUGGGCACCCACUCGGGUGAGUGAAGGGCUGACCCGUACCUGUGACCUUCACUGCUGUUUGUCCGACUCACCCCCUGGGUCUUGCCACAGAGCUCAGGACCCUCUCGCCCCGUUCCCCCUCCCCUGCCUCUGCCACCCCUGUGUGCUGGUCCCCCAGUCCCUGAGAUAACCAGUAGCGAACCCCCUCCGUUAGCCUCUGCCCUCCCUGUGGUCGCCGGGUCCAGGGAGGCCCUCCUGGCUCCUGCGCUGCCCACAGAGGACAGACGGCGACCCGUGACUUUCAGAGGCGUCUGUCCAUUACCACCGGCGCCCUGACUGCUCCUUCACCCCACCUGUCCCCCACAGUACCCAGCCCGGACCCCUCGACAGUGGGAAGGGGCGUCAGGUUUCCCGUCUCCGCGAGGGCCUUUGACUUUCUUUCUCAACAUAGCAGGACUUCCAUGGGCAGCUGAAGGUGGUACAUUUUGCCAGGCAAUGUGCAUUCUUCCGAUCUCGCUCGCUUCUGGGACUUGACAGGCUGUGAUUUGUUUGUUUUUUGUGACUAAGGAGCCACAGGCUGGGAAGGCGAUUGGCUGCCUUCAACCUUUUACUGCCCAGCUGUGAAGGCAGGUGACAAGGAGACUGUUCUUUGCUGUGUGUUCUCACUGGCCCAGCCCAGGAUCAGAGCAUCCAGGGGUCCUGGUGGGUGGGUGAUCCUGGUAAGGCUGUGAGAGCCUUGUCUCACCCGCAGACCAGUGCUGCCAUUAUCUGAGCCCUUUCUGGGAGCCAAGCUCUGUGCUAAGUGCUUUGUUGCCAAGUUCGCUGUCUCACGUAGUCCUCACAACGGCUCUCUGCGAGGUAGGUGUCAGCACCCCCAUCUUCCAGGAGAGGAACCUGAAAGGUUCAAUAAGGUGUCCACGGCCAGGACUGUAGACGGUGGUGUUGGACUCUGGCCCCAGCCCACCUGGACUCAUAAGCAGUAAGCUAGCUCAGCUCACAGCAGCACACCCACCACCAGCCUUACAAAGUGGGGGGACAAUUUCGUUAGAGUGCAAAGCAUUAGGGGUUCAAAUAACAAAUGGUUGUCCAAUGCAAGCCCAUGACAUGGUUAAAAAAAAAAGCACCUUUACACAGCUGGAAGCCCCGGUCUAAUUUCUCUCCCUCCACUGUAACAUGGACCACCUCUAGCCCAGGUCCUCUAAUGGAACUUGAGGGUUUAAAUUUCUGCUGCUGUCCAAGACACCAUAACUCUUACACCCCAGAACCCACCCAUCCUAGGAGUCCAGCCUGAGCGAACUCGCACUGUGGACCUCUCAGCCCUUGCCCUGGGAUCUCCCAAAGUCUUUGUGGGAUCUUCUUUCAUCCCCACCUCAGAGCAUAUCCUUGCUCCCCGUUCUGAGCUCGGGCGUGGUGGGGCGGGGCGGGGCGGGGCGGGGGUGGGGGCCACAGGUGCGGCCACUUGAAGCAGGAUCUUAGUUUCCUGACUGCCAAUUGAAUCCGGGCCGCCUCGGUGAAAACCGGGCAUCUUAACGCCUAGACCACGAGGGCCAGCGGGCUUGAAACAGGACCUUGGUCCUUGUCUUCUCUGAAGAAAGAAUUCAACAAGGAGACAGAAGGUAGUGAAGCAGGAGACAAGCUCCAGCUGCUCAGCGGCCCAGCUAUCUCCUGUCUCACUUCCAAGGGUGUGAUGGUGCCAGAGGGGCUAAGCUGGUGUUUACUGAGGGAUGGCCAUCUAACCUUUUGAUCUUCAUCUCAGUCCUCCUGGUCUGUAACCAGGGUGAAAGGAAAGACUGGGUGCCCGGUGUGCCUCAGAUCCACCCCAGCCCUUCCUGUGCACCUCUUUUGAUUACCCUCAGCUCCUGCACAAGAGGGUCAGAUGAACAUCUGCAGCAACACAGUUCUUAUUCCCGGAUGACUGCAACCUGGCUGGGAGCUAGGCUGCAAGUCCUUCCUGCUGAGGUCAUGGCUCAAAGCUUCAGUUCACUGGGCAUGAGCUGCCUGGAAACACGUGGAUGCGUCCAACCAGGCGCCGGCAGCAAGAGCUUGAGCAGGAGGAUGUGGUGCCCAGACUCAAGGACUGAAUUAGACUCUGUUCAAAAGGAUGCAGACACAGCACCUGACUCAGAGGAAGUGACCUGACAGUGCUGACCACAGACCCUUGUGCUCAGUGCAGGAAGGAGGAGGGAAGAGUCAUGCAGAAUUUGGUUUGAAAGAUCCUAUGCUAAGGGCUACGGAACUGUGACCCUGAGAGACUAUUCUACAUUGCAGUAUUUGCUGUUUGCUUGAUAUUUGACAACACCAGAAUUUUGGGAGAGACAAUUCUCUUUGAGCUUCUUGCUCUCCUGCAUCUCCUACUGUGUGUGCCAAAACUGUAAAGUCCUGACCCCUGUUUUGCCUGGGCCAUUUCUCAGCACUGCGUGGGUGCCCAAAGCACAGAGGAUGCAGGUCGGAAGGUGGUGGCCUGUGCAGAGGAAGAAAGAAGCCCCUGGGCCCACGCACCAGACGCUGGGAGCAAUAAGUGGCAUGCUCAGGUGUAGACCCUGGAGAACUGGAGAAAAGAGGCUGACAUUGUUUCCUUUCUGCUGCUCCCACCGUCCCCCAGGGGCUAGCCUCCACCGCCCCCUGUGCUCCAUGAACUGCCAGCCAGGGGUUAACGUGUUGUUCUGGUGUUAGGGACUCACAUCACUGUAGUCCCUGACUCUUGUGCAUGUUAGACUCCUUGGUUCAUGUUCUCAUGGAGUAAAAAGGCUCCCGAAUUCAAACGAUUGGGUUUUGGUGAAGUUUGCAGAAGGGAAGGAAAUCCUAAGGGGCCUUUGGGCAGGGUCCUGUGGGCCAUUCACUGUACUGUUGUGGCUUCCACCACUGAACGGAUGGUAAGUACCGAGGGUUCUAGUCUGUCUUCCUGUCAGGUGAGUGGCAGAGGGGAUUCUCCCAUCCGGGAUCGCUGCGUGUACAGAAGUGCUGGAGGUACGUGUAGAAUGCAACCUCCCCUCUAUCGUUUCCUCCCUAAACCAUCCCUGGUGGUCCGGCAGAGACAAUACAGAAUUCCUGCAAGAGGAGAAAUCAGUUUUAAAGAUUUAAUGGCCGGCAGACUAUGCCGGGGCAUUUCCUGGUAUAACAGCGCCACCUGCCGGACAAGCCACCGGUGGCCUUUUGGUUUUGUUUUUGAGCAAGUUAUUACCAAGCUCUUGUGGAAACUGCAUGUCUGACCCGUGCAUGGCUUGUGGCUCUUUGGCCUGAAUGCCCAUUUUGAGGCGUAUCAAAUCAGACUCAAUGACUAACAAGGUGGAAAGAGCCCAAAAGAUCUCUCUGUUCAAAAGGAAAUGGCACAUAUAUUCAAGAACCAGGUUGCCUGGCCCUCCUGGCAUCUCACCUUCACAUAAAAUGGGGCGUUGACACCUUUAGGGGAAACAGUAUCCCCUGCCAUGUCCCCUAAAGCAAAGCCACUGACCCAAAGGGGCCCUGGCUUCACAAAGAAACCCCUAAACUCUUGGGCCUGGUGCACUGGUGGUUUAGCUAAGUUGAUGGCGUCAGCACUGUUGCAGCUGCUCAGCACCAUAUCCAUCAGGCAGAAAGUGACCGCGAUUGUUCUCUCAAGGGCCAGAGCUCACCACAGUCCUAAUCGUACUGGCCAGUCCUCCCCUGAGCCUGAGUUGCUGAUGGGCCACCACCUGGCCUGCUACUGGGGAGAUUCUGGACUGGCAGAUUACAGACACCCCUCUGUGGGGCAGUAACUCGGGGAAACAUAUUGCCACUGCUGAUGGGACAGUGGUGCCACUGAUGCAGAUGUAUUCAGUAAGGAUUCUCUGAUGAGACCACUGGAAGCAAACUGCUGAUCAAGCCUUCAUUGCCCAGAUCACAGCCAUCACUACCCGCGUCCACUUGCAGAUAUCCGGCAGCCUGGAGCCAAGGCUCAGAGACAUGGCGGAUUCCCUUCCAGACCACCACAAUAAAGUGAAUAUUGCAAUAAAGCAAGUCACAUGAAUUUUUUUGUUUUCCAGUGCAUAUAAAAGUUAUGUUGACUCUAUACUGUCACAUAUUAGGUAUGCAAUAGCAUUAUGUUUAAAAAACAAUGCACAUACCUUAAUCAAAACAUACUUCAUUGGUAAAAAAAAAUGUUAAGCAUCAUCUGAUAACACAGAGUCAUCACAAACCUUCAAUUUAUAAAAGAAAAAACCCUGCAAUAUCUUCGAAGGGCAAUAAAACAAGGUAUGCUGUACUGGAGAACAAAAGUAGUGAACUCACUGCUAGUGCCUGGGUGCUUCAAAUUCUGCUCUCCUUCCCCAAUCCCCCUGCUGCUAUGUACUUCUCAGAGUCUUCAGAUAGCUGCUCCAUGCCUGCUGUCCGGGGGUACAGUUGUAUUGAGUGGGACAGACAGGGUGGCAUGUGCUUACUCCAUCUCACCCAGAACUGGAACCCAGGGAAAGCUUUGAACAGGUGGAGAUAGGGGAGCCCCCCACUCCCCAGCACCAGGGCAAAGGCAUAGAGCUGGGAACGCAGGACAGGCUGGGUCCUGAGCCCUGCAGGAGAGCAGAGGGAGAGAAAUUUGGCAGAAGGGUGAGUGCUGUGGGCCCAGGUGUGCAGCCAUCAUGGGGGAGCCACUGAGGGGACCCAAGCCGAGACAGCCAAGACAGGAGCUGGGCUUCAGGCCUCAAAUGUGCUGUUGCCCUCACCUGGAACGCUCCUUCUUCUGCACUUCACCCAGCCAACUCUUUCUCAUCCUCAGGUGUCAGCUGAAAUCUCACUUCCUCAGGGAAGCCUACCUGACCAUAGAUCCCACAGAAUUCUGUACUUUUCCCUCCUGGUCCUUAUCAUGGUGGCAAUUGUUAAUUAAGCAUUUGCAAUUGUUUAAUUCACACCAGUUUCCCCUACUGGACUGUGGGAACAUGAGGGCAACAUCCACAUAGAUCUCGUUAAUUGCUUAGGUGGAUCAGUCAGUCAGCAAACCUGUAGGGAGAACCUGCUCUGUGCCCACCAUUGUCCUGGGCACCAGUGUUCCCAAGGACAAGGUGUCGACCUUGCCCACUGUUGUCUGCCUGUUGCCGGCACAAACGCUGAGCCCAGUGUUAAAUGACUGACUGCCCAAAGGUGGUUCUGGCUGUGUGUGUGUGUGUGUGUGUGUGUUUAAAGGGAGAAGG